AUGACUUUUAAUAACUAUCAAUCUUAUCUUUUAGGAGUUUCAUGCAUUGCUUUGGUCUUAGUUUCAGGAUUGGUUAAUGGUUUGAAGACUCCAACAGUUGAGCUACGCAAAGCAUCCUGCUUUAUAGGGGUGCCCGGUAAAUUAAGCUUAUGUUGUUUUGAGGAUUGUUCUCCAAAUUGCCGUCAAAACUGUAUAAACGCUGGAUUUAAAUUAGGUGGAGUGUGUGUUGAUAUAGCUAUUGGACAAAAAUGUUGUUGUUAUAAGUAA
Molecule: non-coding RNA, 267 nt
Organism: Vicia faba (fava bean)
Lineage: Eukaryota; Viridiplantae; Streptophyta; Magnoliopsida; Fabales; Fabaceae
Source: the annotation of a GenBank genome assembly